Molecule: long non-coding RNA, 1785 nt
Organism: Astyanax mexicanus (Mexican tetra)
Lineage: Eukaryota; Metazoa; Chordata; Actinopteri; Characiformes; Acestrorhamphidae
Exons: 4
Source: RefSeq, a predicted model, not a curated record
ACUGUAACCAAUUGCUGUAUUUUUUACAGUAAAACCAUACAGUAAAUAACUGUUUAAGGAUUUUCCAUUGUAAAACUGUAGAACGCAAUGCAUCAUGGGAUGCCCUACAAAUACAACUGCCACCUGUGUAUUUAACCAUAACCUACUGGGGGCAAACGGGCAGUUCGGUUUUCCCCUGGAAAGAAGAAGUUUCCUCAGGAUUUACUGCUGUUCUUGAGAUCACCCACCUGAGGAAAACUCCAAGAACACCUGCAUUUAAGAAUUAAGUUCUGUUCUUCGUUCAGAUGUCCAAAGUCCAACACCUGCAGACGUAUCAAGAAGUCUAAGGAAUAGCCAACCCACCAUCAGUACACCAAGUACAUCCAGCCCAACUGACAGAUCCAGAGUAAUAGAUCUUAGUACUUGGCUCGACAAGUUUAAGGUCCCAUGGAGCAAGAUGCCCCAAGGAAUAAAACUCUCGAUAAACGCACAACAGCGGCCUACUCCUCGAGACCGUCGGGAGAUGAUAAGAGUCAUUGUAGAUGAAAUAAGACUUAUCGAGCCCAAUCCUACUAGAUCAGACUGCGUUACAGUCGCCAAGAUGGUUGUUAAGGAAUAUCCAGAAAGUUUUGCAGACAUUCUGAAAGAUGGCACCAGAAUUGGAAGUGGGUUUGCUUCACUGGUGAACCAGCUAAAAACGCGAGUUGAACACCUCAACCGUAACAGUGUAAUAGGAAGGCGCAGAAGGAUGAAAGGACACUCCAGUUCACCAACUACAAACCGAGCAAAAGGGCCAUCGGACCAAUAUGGGUGCAUCAGAUGGCAACCUGAUUGUCCUCAAGGGGAAACUGAGUCAAUUCUGAAAGAGAAGCAGGAGGAAAUGAAAGAGCUUUAUGCUCGUGAGGGUCCAGCAGCAGCAGAGAGAGGGCACAUUACUCAGCUCAUGGAGAGGACCUACUACUUGCAACGAAAAACCAUCAAUGCAAGUCCAGCCCCAUCUAUUGUGGAGCUCAAAACUGGCUGGCCAUUUCUUUUUACACCAAAAGAAAUUAAUAAUCACUUUAAGCUGUUAACUGACAUCUCUAUCCUUGAAAAAAUUACUGAUGCAAUUGAGCACAGAGGGAAGAUGAUCGUUAACUUUUUUCGCCAAAAACCAACAAAUGAAGUCCAGCAAAUUCUGUCAAGGUCGAGCUACCAUACUGGCACCAUGUGUUGUCCUCCUGCUGAUGGCACACUUCAAAGAACACUCUGAAGCACUGAUUUUACAAGUUCAUGCCACAGCCACACCAGCAGAUGUGGAGGAAUCAGUUUUACCAGACUCUCCAAGAUUGAUUGUUCAAGAUGUUUUGUGGGAAUCAACCCAACCACUGGCUCUAAGACAUCUACUGAGCAGGUCCUGAGCAAAAGAAGUGGAAAGGUAGUGGAGAAGAAAAAACACUCCAUGAAUGUCAAAGUUUGCAGCCUUCUAAGGAAAUUAAUGGACUUCGACUGGCUUUGCAUGUCGGUGUAAAUGUUGUCUUCAGCAUACUACUGCAUAAUGUGAAAAUGUUUAUUUAUCUUCAUGAUUAUUACAAAAAGACAAAAUGUCAAAUUUAUGUUUAACAUUUUCUUUUAGUUUUGGUAUGUACUAGUAGAUAUGUUUGCCUAUUGACUGCGUGGACUUUAAGUUGGUUGUAAAUCUAAUAGCAUACAGUACUUGUCACAAGUUGAUGCACCUUUUCAUUCAUUUAUUUAUUUUUAUUUAUUUAUUUUUCUUACAUUGUAAGACUGAAGUCAUUCAGACCAUGAAUGAACACUUAAGUUUAG